This 530-nucleotide ribosomal RNA is filed under the name uncultured bacterium. Its description in RNAcentral is "bacterial SSU rRNA". It matches the Rfam family "Bacterial small subunit ribosomal RNA", at positions 368 to 917 of the family's 1533-position model. The record is from RNAcentral.
CGUCUGGGCGCAGCCUGAUCUAGCCAUGCCGCGUGAGUGAUGAAGGCCUUAGGGUCGUAAAGCUCUUUCGCCUGUGAUGAUAAUGACAGUAGCAGGUAAAGAAACCCCGGCUAACUCCGUGCCAGCAGCCGCGGUAAUACGGAGGGGGUUAGCGUUGUUCGGAAUUACUGGGCGUAAAGCGCGCGUAGGCGGAUUAGAAAGUUGGGGGUGAAAUCCCGGGGCUCAACCCCGGAACUGCCUCCAAAACUGCUAGUCUAGAGUUCGAGAGAGGUGAGUGGAAUUCCGAGUGUAGAGGUGAAAUUCGUAGAUAUUCGGAGGAACACCAGUGGCGAAGGCGGCUCACUGGCUCGAUACUGACGCUGAGGUGCGAAAGUGUGGGGAGCAAACAGGAUUAGAUACCCUGGUAGUCCACACCGUAAACGAUGAAUGCCAGUCGUCGGAUAGUAUACUAUUCGGUGACACACCUAACGGAUUAAGCAUUCCGCCUGGGGAGUACGGUCGCAAGAUUAAAACUCAAAGGAAUUGACGGA